Molecule: long non-coding RNA, 3448 nt
Organism: Mauremys mutica (yellowpond turtle)
Lineage: Eukaryota; Metazoa; Chordata; Testudines; Geoemydidae
Exons: 4
Source: RefSeq, a predicted model, not a curated record
UCCCGUAAAUGCCCGAACAGCUGCCCAGCGCCAUUUAAAGCGACAGGGCCGCGCCGCGCGUGAGUAGGGCAGUGAGGGCAGGACAAUGAGUCUCGCUGCGGCGCGCGGCCCGGGGAGGUCCCGCUCCGCGUGGCGCGAGCAAUUCCCGCUGUGCCCCUCCAGGCGUGGCGCGGAGCCGUCCCCGCGCUGCGACGGUCCCCCUCACUGUACCCCAUGGGGACGAGUCAGGGCCCUGCGUCCUUCCUCCCACUCCUGCGACAACACCUGGGGGAGGGAGCCCGGCCUUUGUCCGGCCCUGGCCCUGGCCGCCUGUGUGCAUCCCUUGGCGCCCUGAGCCCCCCUGGCAGUGGGGAGGAUAAUACAUGAUAGCCCCGCCCCCCUUCCCCAGUCUAUUCAGUCUGAAAGCCCUUCCCUGUGCCUGUGCCCCAUGCAGGACAACAGGCCCUGACCUCAGCGAGGGCCUCCUGCAACUGCCUAGGCCAGCGUCUAACAACAUAAUAGGAGCCUCCUCCUUCAGCUCUGCCCGGAGGGAAGAUGGCCCUCGUGCAGCCAGGGUCCUUUCCUUUCCUGUGAGGAAUCCUAGCGGGGGGAGUGAGGCCCUACGGCUGGCACCUACGUACUUAAUGGGAAAGAAAAAACAGGAAACGACACGUGGGGGAAGACGAGUUCACUUCUAACCAGGAAAGCAGGAUGCCACAGUGACAGGGUGCCACAGAAACAGGGACCUUAAAGACUUAAAAAGCUAAAGUUGGGUGACCAGAUGUCCUGACUUUAUAGGGACAGGCCCGAUUUUGGGGACUUUUUCCUAUACAGGCUCCUAUUACCCCCCACCCCGUCCCGAUUUUUCACACUUGCUGGCUGGUCACCCUAAGCUAGAGACAAUAUUACAGACUGGCUACCUGGCCUUUUUGUGAAGUGACCACUGUUUUAGGGAUUCAGGUUUAAAGAGGGAAAUUACUCGUAAUUCCAUUAGUUUUUGUUUUGUCUAUAUGCAGAUGCUGCACUUGUUUAACUUAAACCCCACGUACAUACUCUUACUGCCUGUUAGUCUAAACCUGGUCCUAAUCAGCCUAAGCUAAAUCAAAUGAAAGCAGCUUUAGAUCAUUCUAAGAGUGCCACAGAGCCGUCUGCACCAGGUUAAUUAAACUGAUUUUAAAUCUCACAGUUAGUUUAACUGCUGCAAUUGUGCAUGUAGACAAGUCUGUGGUCCCAUUUUCUCCCAUCCCACAAAAGAGAUGGUCAGGGACAGAUUGUUUUACCACUCCACCUAGCAGGAAGCAAAGGAGGGAAAAACUGGAACGGGUUUAUUGUAUUUAAACACAAGUCCACCCCUUCCUCCUCCAAUUAUCUACUGCUAUAGUAAUAAGGUAAAGAAAAAAUGGAGAAGUAUGCAAAAAGCAGCAGCACCCUUCCUUGGCAGGGUGUAGGAUGGAAAAGAAAGUUAUGGUAAAUGGAAACAUUGAUUUGUAAUUUUUGCUUGUCUCAUGUUUCACUUUUCCGACUUUAUGAAAGUCCAUCAGGAACAGAUGAUGGAUGUAAGAAGCAUCAUGUAGGAGAAGGAAUUAUUUAAUGGAACUUAAACACUUUCCAAGUAAAGGUGGGGUCUGGAGUUAGCACACAGCAGAUCCAGCUGAUAGCAUGUUAUAAAUGUAUGGAGUGUCACUUGCCACUUUAUAUACCUCAAAGGAGUGGCACUAAUAUGAGGGUUGCUUCCACUUCUGCCCCCAGUGUUUUUACACUUCUCAAAGUUGCUCAAAGUUCCAUAGGCUGUGUAGCCAGGGGGGAGGAAAGCACAUGGCCCAGCCACUUUCAGUCAGCAGUCCCAUACUAAAUCAGUAUGGGUGCUGUCAGAGUGGAUUUGAGCACUGUUCUGGCUGUGUGGUCACCACACUGUACAGAUGGAGGGGCAGUUGGGCCAGAUUUCAGUGAAUGGUAUUGUGAUCUGGCACAUGAGGAGUCUGUUCUUGUAUGAUGGAGCAUAAGAGGGGGAGGGAUAGCUCAAUGGUUUGAACAUUGGCCUGCUAAACCCAGGGUUGUAAGCUCAAUCCUUGAGGUGGGCCAUAUAGGGAUCUGGGGCAAAAAUGUGUCUGGGGAUUGGUCCUUCUUUUAGCAGGGGGUUGGUCUAGAUGACCUCCUGAGGUCCCUUCCAACCCUGAUAUUCUAUGAUUUCUAAGAGAGUCUGCUGAGAACUUUAAUUGCUCCCAUGGCCCUGCUUUGAGACUAUGGGAGCCAAUUCUUUAAAAUCUAUUACUAUCAAAGAUGUUUUGGGGCUGGCAGUUACUAAGUCCAGGAGGACUGAAAAAUUGGGCUCUCUCUCACCAAUACCUCUCCAUAUCUACAAUUCUUUCCAGGCAAAGUGAUGCUUUUUAGCCUUUUUCACAAAGAUAAACACAAAAUUUCAUAUUAAUGAACAUAUUGUUCUUCCAGCCUUCUAUACUACUCAGGACACAAAGCUAUUUUCUUGGAUGUCAAAUUAACUAACUGUGUUAAUAGGGUAGUGCUAGACCUUUAUAAUAAGAAUGUAACAAAGAUGGGAGCUAAUAAGGCCAUGUGAACCAUGAGAUGGCUGAGGCAUGAACUCUUAAGUGCUUUAAAGUCCUUUCUUAAAUCUUGACUUCUUACUGACAAGGGCAUUCUCCAGGUUUAAGAAUGAGCUUCUCUAGAGCACCACCCAGAGUGGGUGGGAUUUAGGGCAGGUCUACACUAUAGCAGGGAUCGAUGCUCUGAGAUCGAUCCACCAGUGGUCGACUUAGCGGGUCUAGUAAAGACUCACCAAAUCACUCUCCAGUCAACCCCUGUGCUCUACCCCCAACAAGAAGAGUAAGGUAAGUCUCCCGUCAACCCCCCACGGUGUAGACGCUGCGGUAACUCGACCUAAGGUAUGUAGCUGGAGUUGUGUAGCAUAGGUCGACUUACUGCGGUAGUGUAAACCUAGCCUUGGUAGGAGUUUAGAAGGGAGGAGAUGGCAACAUUCCUGGAAAGACGGGGGCUAGGGGUAAUCCAAGAUGACAAUCUGGGAGCAGAAGUAGACAGAGGUUUCUGAAGGAGAAAUCACUGCUCUUCUCCAAGCUCCGCCCUGCAGAGGAUGCUAUUACAGGAAAACUGAAAGGUUAACAGGUCCCUGAGCAGACAGAACAGCUUGCUCCAUUAGCAGAUGUGAGAUCAGACCCUGCAACAACCCAGAAAAAUGAAGAUUGGUACUGGAUCCCUAAAUUGCUCCCUCUGUAAAAUCCGUUGCUCUCAGCAGAGGACUUACAUACAGAGGGAAAUAAAAAAGAAUGCAAAUCAGAAGGAAGAGAGUAGGCAGAGCAGGAAAAGCGAGGCAAGGGCUCCUUUCAAGUUGCAGGAUGCACAGGAACUGGAGGGAGGAAGCAGAUGGGGGCUGUUCUCGGAGUCAACACUUUCAAGGAUAGAGUCCCCCAUUCUCCGCGCUUCAGCUGUCCCCCCC